UGUGCACCACCCUCUCACCCAAACGAAGGCAGCUGGCCCUGAAGUUCUCUGAGCUUGAGGACAAAAAAAGACCUCUGUGAGUUGUCAGGCUCUGUUACAGUCUGGGUCAGCAGACAAGAGUCCCAGGGCUCGGCCGUCUUCUCUAGGAGAGAAAAUAUUCGUGCCAUAUAGCGUGUUCUAAGAGUUCUCACCAGAAGCCCAGAAAGUUCUGUAUUUACUCAGCAUUCAAGGGAAAACAGACCCUGUAUUUUUGGGAUUCCUGAAAGGUGACCAGGUGAGAGCAAAGCCCAACUUCCUGGGGAAAAGCUCUCAGCGCAGUGAAUGCUACAUUCGGAGGUAGGAAGGCUCUGGAUGUGAGUCUUCAUGUUUGUUUUUUGUUUUUUGUUUUUUUUUCUCUAAAAUUACCAAAAAAGAGGAAUAUCCACAGAAGCAGAAGUAGGAAUGGGGAAGGAGGGGACAAGUUUAGACCAAGCUCUUCUGUGACCUCACUUCUGCUUUUGAAGUCCCACAGCUCUAUAAGGCUACCUUCAUCCCCAAACAGGAACUGCUGCAAGGCCCGCAGCAGCCAUGGGUGAGUGGCUCUGGAGAUGGGGUAAGUGGCCUACGCACCCCAGAGGAACAGCUGGCAGCCUAGUCUUCGGGCAGCAGCUCCACUCAGCCCUGGGGAAUGACAGAUACAGGUGUGUUCCCUCAGGUGCAUAUGUGCAUGUGCUUGUGUGCAACUUCCUCCUCUGCUCUCAUUCCUGCAAGGUGCAUUCUCAGAAGGCUGUUACUCCACAGUCACUACGGUUGUGAAGCGGAACCAGACAACUUCCCAUUUUCGAGGUUCUACAAUUGGCAAUAUGGGAAAAUCUUACCCCAUUACCACCCAACUCGAUUCUUUCAAUGCAAGCUUGUCUAACCCAUAGCCUGCAGGCCACAUGUGACCCAGGAUGACUUUGGAUGUGGCCCAGUGCAAAUUCGUAAACUUUCUUAAAAUAUUAUAAGAUUGUUUUGCAAUACAUCAGUAUCGUUAGCGUUAGUGUAUUUUAUAUGUGGCCCAAGACAAUUCUUCUUCUGAUGUGGCCGAGGGAAGCCAAAAGAUUGGAUACUCCUGCGUAAGGGGGAAAUGCAUGUUUAUAGUCAUAUAUAUAUAUUUUUUUUUUCUAAUUUUUUUUUUGCACCCAGUGCAGUGGCACAAUCAUA
Molecule: long non-coding RNA, 1185 nt
Filed under: Homo sapiens (human)
Lineage: Eukaryota; Metazoa; Chordata; Mammalia; Primates; Hominidae
Description: HSALNT0299258
Source: RNAcentral